UUAAACCUCUUUAUUCCCUCAAGUAUACUAAAAGAUUUAAAAUUCAUUCAAAUAAGGUACAGCCUAUUUGAAACAGGAUACAACCUCUAAUAUCGGGUAACCUCCAACCUCUGUGAUCAAGUCGGCCUAAAAGCAGCCAUCUUUUAAAAAGCGUUACAGCCUUACCACACAUAUCUAUAAUUCCCGCCUAAACUAAAAACCCAUUAUCAAUACUGAAUGACUCCAUUCACCUAUGGAAGACCUUAUGUUAGAACUAGUAACGAGAAUAUGCCUUUCUCCAACAGUAAGUGUAAGCUGGAGUGAACCCCUCACCGGCAUUUACCGCCAAUGAAUUUAUAGUAGUAACUUCCUCAAGAAAAUGCUACUCUCACCAGCGUUAAUCUUACACUAGAACUCUCCUGGAAAGAUUAAAAGACUGGGAAG
RNAcentral lists this ribosomal RNA (423 nucleotides) under Sphenophryne cornuta. Its description in RNAcentral is "partial 16S ribosomal RNA". The record is from RNAcentral. Lineage: Eukaryota; Metazoa; Chordata; Amphibia; Anura; Microhylidae.